Molecule: unclassified non-coding RNA, 348 nt
Filed under: soil metagenome
Description: partial contains 5.8S ribosomal RNA, internal transcribed spacer 2, and large subunit ribosomal RNA
Rfam family: 5.8S ribosomal RNA (bases 1-120)
Source: RNAcentral
GAUGAAGAACGUAGCGAAAUGCGAUAAGUAAUGUGAAUUGCAGAAUUCAGUGAAUCAUCGAAUCUUUGAACGCACAUUGCGCCCGCCAGUAUUCUGGCGGGCAUGCCUGUCUGAGCGUCAUUUCAACCCUCAUGCCCCUAGGGCGUGGUGUUGGGGAUCGGCCAAAGCCCGCGAGGGACGGCCGGCCCCUAAAUCUAGUGGCGGACCCGUCGUGGCCUCCUCUGCGAAGUAGUGAUAUUCCGCAUCGGAGAGCGACGAGCCCCGGCCGUUAAACCCCCAACUUUCCAAGGUUGACCUCAGAUCAGGUAGGAAUACCCGCUGAACUUAAGCAUAUCAAUAAGCGGAGGA